UAUCAACAAACAUGGAGCCUUGCACAAGGAAUGCUAUUGACUAUGUGGGAUUCGGGAUGCUCUCCCACUGGCAUCAUAUGCAGAUCAGUGGUCACAAGAACGUACACAUCAUUAAUGUCAGCAAUAUAUAUCUCCGACUUCAAACACACAGCUUGCAAAAUCGCUGAAUAUUGCACAAAAGCAGCUUCGUUACAAACUUCCAGCAACUCGAAAUCCACAAGCAGUCUCGUUCCCCACCAACUUUGACUUCGCAGCGAAGGCAUGUUUUUUUUGGGAAACCGUUAACAUCUCACAACUAAACGUAUACUACGGAGAUUGACAAGUUGAAAAAUAAAUUACUGUAAUCACUUCCAAUUUGCGCACUACGUUAAAAUCCAGUUCCAUUUUGUCUUUAUUGUUGAAAUGCUACUCUACACAUUCGUGACGUCACGCGUUAACUCGUCUAUAGCGGUUGGCGUGUUGUUGGAAGUACAUGUACAUGUCGAAUGUGUUAUUGUAAAAACUAUUGGUAUUGUGUUUUUAGUGCAGACAUUGUAUUUAAGUUUCGAUUUCUAGCUUAAAUUUAUAUAUUUUGUUCAAUAAUUUGAGUUUAAAUGUGAUUGUUUGUUGCUUACUUACGAACUAUUUUUUAUGUGUAAAUAUGCAUAGACGCUAGUGGAUAUGUAAUCAGGUUACCAUAUUUACAACAAUAAAAUUUAACGGUU
Dreissena polymorpha is the source of this 704-nucleotide long non-coding RNA. RefSeq lists it as uncharacterized. The record is from RefSeq and is a predicted model, not a curated record. NCBI's taxonomy places the organism in Eukaryota, Metazoa, Mollusca, Bivalvia, Myida, Dreissenidae. The transcript is spliced from 2 exons.